Molecule: ribosomal RNA, 567 nt
Filed under: uncultured bacterium
Lineage: Bacteria
Description: partial 16S ribosomal RNA
Rfam family: Bacterial small subunit ribosomal RNA
Source: RNAcentral
UGGGGAAUAUUGCACAAUGGGCGAAAGCCUGAUGCAGCAACGCCGCGUGAGGGACGACGGCCUUCGGUUGUAAACCUCUUUUAGCAAGGAAGAAGCGAAAGUGACGGUACUUGCAGAAAAAGCGCCGGCUAACUACGUGCCAGCAGCCGCGGUAAUACGUAGGGCGCAAGCGUUAUCCGGAAUUAUUGGGCGUAAAGAGCUCGUAGGCGGUUUGUCGCGUCUGCUGUGAAAACCCGAGGCUCAACCUCGGGCCUGCAGUGGGUACGGGCAGACUAGAGUGCGGUAGGGGAGAUUGGAACUCCUGGUGUAGCGGUGGAAUGCGCAGAUAUCAGGAAGAACACCGAUGGCGAAGGCAGAUCUCUGGGCCGUAACUGACGCUGAGGAGCGAAAGGGUGGGGAGCAAACAGGCUUAGAUACCCUGGUAGUCCACCCCGUAAACGUUGGGAACUAGUUGUGGGGUCCAUUCCACGGAUUCCGUGACGCAGCUAACGCAUUAAGUUCCCCGCCUGGGGAGUACGGCCGCAAGGCUAAAACUUAAAUGAAUUGACGGGGUCAUAGCUGUUUCCU